Molecule: long non-coding RNA, 307 nt
Organism: Phyllopteryx taeniolatus (common seadragon)
Lineage: Eukaryota; Metazoa; Chordata; Actinopteri; Syngnathiformes; Syngnathidae
Exons: 3
Source: RefSeq, a predicted model, not a curated record
GUAGACGGCUACCAGAACAGAAAGUCGAAUGUGAGCGCACACUGGUGUGGAAAAUCCAACAUGCUAAGUAAAGUGACCUGGAGGUUAGCGCACCUGCCUGGAAGACAUUUGAUCAAAGCUUUGUCUGUGACUCCACCGAACAGAGUUGGGUUCACCAUGGCGUGCUUUGGAACAUAACAUCAAAUCUUAAGGAGCAACCUAAUCCAGAUCUGAGGGUAUCUGAGAUCAGGAUCACCCCAAAUCAAAUUGUGCAAAAUAUAUACAUAUAUAUUUUGCCAUGUUUAGUUUGUUUGCAGACAUGUCGAGG